ACGGGAGGCAGCAGUGAGGAAUAUUGCACAAUGGGGGAAACCCUGAUGCAGCAACGCCGCGUGAAGGAUGAAGGCCUUUGGGUCGUAAACUUCUGUUCUAAGGGAAGAUAAUGACGGUACCUUAGGAGCAAGUCCCGGCUAACUACGUGCCAGCAGCCGCGGUAAUACGUAGGGGGCGAGCGUUAUCCGGAAUUAUUGGGCGUAAAGAGUACGUAGGUGGUUUUCUAAGCGCAGGGUUUAAGGCUAUGGCUUAACCAUAGUUCGCCUUGCGAACUGGAUAACUUGAGUGCUGGAGAGGAAAGCGGAAUUCCUAGUGUAGCGGUGAAAUGCGUAGAUAUUAGGAGGAACACCAGUGGCGAAGGCGGCUUUCUGGACAGUAACUGACACUGAGGUACGAAAGUGUGGGGAGCAAACAGGAUUAGAUACCCUGGUA
RNAcentral lists this ribosomal RNA (433 nucleotides) under uncultured Anaerovorax sp. Its description in RNAcentral is "bacterial SSU rRNA". It matches the Rfam family "Bacterial small subunit ribosomal RNA", at positions 341 to 792 of the family's 1533-position model. Lineage: Bacteria; Bacillati; Bacillota; Clostridia; Peptostreptococcales; Anaerovoracaceae. The record is from RNAcentral.